Molecule: small nucleolar RNA, 101 nt
Organism: Phyllostomus discolor (pale spear-nosed bat)
Lineage: Eukaryota; Metazoa; Chordata; Mammalia; Chiroptera; Phyllostomidae
Product: small nucleolar RNA U13
Exons: 1
Source: RefSeq, a predicted model, not a curated record
ACCCUUUUAUAGUUCGUAAGUGUGAUGAUUGGAUGUUCACACUUUUGUGUGAUAUGUGCCUCUCAUAAACCUUGUUACAUCGGCACAUUGCCCAUCUGACA